RNAcentral lists this ribosomal RNA (319 nucleotides) under uncultured eukaryote. RNAcentral describes it as "partial 18S ribosomal RNA". It matches the Rfam family "Eukaryotic small subunit ribosomal RNA", at positions 592 to 976 of the family's 1831-position model. The record is from RNAcentral.
CAAAAGCGUAUAUUAAAGUUGUUGCGGCUAGAAAGCUCGUAAUUGAAUUUCAGCCUAGGAACGUUAACUCGCCGAAAGGGUGUACGUUGAUUUUCCUUUGACUUCGUCAGGAGCUCGUGCUGCACUUAACUGUGUGGUACGAUGUUCUGACCUUUCACCUUGAGGAAAGUAGAAUGUUUCAGGCAGGCUACCCAGCUUGAAUACAUCAGCAUGGAAUAAUGAAACGGAUCUCGUUUCGCUUGAGAAUGAGGAGUGAAAUCCGAUGAUCUCUUAAAGACGAUCCGAGGCGAAAGCAGUUGGCAAGUGAUGUGUUCAUUGA